GCCUUGAUACCGAGAGCAACAGUUCCCCAGCAACACCCCCCUCCCCGACACAGGCACACCCCCCGAGGAGGCACGCACACCCACCCCACGGCGCCCGGCUCGGCAGCGCCCAGGAAAUCCACCCUGCCCCACCACGCAGAGCCAGGAAGGAAAGAGAGCCUCAUGCCUAAGCCUCGGGGAGCACCAUGGAUCUGACAAAGAUGGGCAUGAUCCAGCUGCAGAACCCCAGCCACCCCACGGGGCUCCUGUGCAAGGCCAACCAGAUGCGGCUGGCCGGGACGCUGUGCGAUGUGGUCAUCAUGGUGGACAGCCAGGAGUUCCAUGCCCACCGGACCGUGCUGGCCUGCACCAGCAAGAUGUUUGAGAUCCUCUUCCACCGCAACAGCCAGCACUAUACUCUGGACUUCCUCUCUCCAAAGACCUUCCAGCAGAUUCUGGAGUAUGCAUACACGGCCACGCUGCAAGCCAAGGCGGAAGACCUGGAUGACCUGCUGUAUGCAGCUGAGAUCCUGGAGAUUGAGUACCUGGAGGAGCAGUGCCUGAAGAUCCUGGAGACCAUCCAAGCCUCAGACGACAAUGACACGGAGGCCACCAUGGCGGAUGGCGGGGCCGAGGAAGAAGAGGACCGCAAGGCUCGGUAUCUCAAGAACAUCUUCAUCUCGAAGCAUUCCAGCGAGGAGAGUGGGUAUGCCAGUGUGGCUGCCCAGAGCCUCCCUGGGCCCAUGGUGGACCAGAGCCCUUCUGUCUCCACCUCGUUUGGUCUUUCAGCCAUGAGUCCCACCAAGGCGGCGGUGGACAGUUUGAUGACCAUAGGGCAAUCUCUCCUGCAGGGGGCUCUUCAGCCUCCUGCUGGGCCUGAGGAGCCGACUCUGGCGGGGGGAGGUCGGCACCCUGCGGUGGCCGAGGUGAAGCCGGAGAUGAUGCAGGUGGAUGAGGUGCCCGGCCAGGACAGCCCUGGUGCAGCGGAGUCUAGCAUCUCGGCUGGGAUGGGGGACAAGGUUGAGGAAAGGGGGAAGGAGGGGCCCGGAACCCCAACUCGGAGCAGCGUCAUCACCAGCGCUCGGGAGCUGCACUAUGGACGCGAGGAGAGUGCUGAGCAGCUGCCCCCUCCCACCGAGGCUGGCCAGGGCCCCCCAGGCCGACCAGAGCCCCCCGCGCCCCCAGCCGAGAAGCACCUGGGCAUCUACUCCGUGUUGCCCAACCACAAGGCCGAUGCCGUGUUGAGCAUGCCGUCCUCGGUGACCUCGGGCCUCCACGUGCAGCCCACCCUGGCUGUCUCCAUGGACUUUAGCACCUAUGGGGGUCUGCUGCCCCAGGGCUUCAUCCAGAGGGAGCUAUUCAGCAAGCUGGGGGAGCUGGCCGUGGGCAUGAAGUCGGAGAGUCGCAGCGUCGGGGAGCAGUGCAGCGUGUGCGGGGUGGAGCUUCCUGACAACGAGGCAGUGGAGCAGCACAGGAAGCUGCACAGUGGGAUGAAGACGUACGGGUGUGAGCUCUGCGGAAAGCGGUUCCUGGAUAGUUUGCGACUGAGAAUGCACUUACUGGCUCAUUCAGCGGGUGCCAAAGCCUUUGUCUGUGAUCAGUGCGGUGCCCAGUUUUCGAAGGAGGAUGCCCUGGAGACACACAGGCAGACCCAUACCGGUGACCACCCGUAUGAGUGUGAGUUCUGUGGCAGCUGCUUCCGGGAUGAGAGCACACUCAAGAGCCACAAGCGCAUCCACACGGGCGAGAAACCCUACGAGUGCAAUGGCUGUGGCAAGAAGUUCAGCCUCAAGCACCAGCUGGAGACGCACUAUCGAGUGCAUACAGGAGAGAAGCCCUUCGAGUGUAAGCUGUGCCACCAGCGCUCCCGGGACUACUCGGCCAUGAUCAAGCACCUGCGGACCCACAACGGCGCCUCGCCCUACCAGUGCACCAUCUGCACGGAGUACUGCCCCAGCCUGUCCUCCAUGCAGAAGCACAUGAAGGGCCACAAGCCCGAGGAGAUCCCGCCCGACUGGAGGAUAGAGAAGACGUACCUCUACCUGUGUUACGUGUGAGGCCAGCCUGCGGCCAUGGCGGGGGAGCAGGAGAAGCGUUAGAGCAGGAUGACGUCCAGAAGGACUGUGCAAAAACCACCACAAAAAACAAAAA
RNAcentral lists this long non-coding RNA (2130 nucleotides) under Sus scrofa (pig). Its description in RNAcentral is "lncRNA (ENSSSCG00050006465.1)". The record is from RNAcentral. Lineage: Eukaryota; Metazoa; Chordata; Mammalia; Artiodactyla; Suidae.